RNAcentral lists this long non-coding RNA (563 nucleotides) under Homo sapiens (human). RNAcentral describes it as "HSALNT0341167". The record is from RNAcentral. Lineage: Eukaryota; Metazoa; Chordata; Mammalia; Primates; Hominidae.
UUCUGCGAGAAAGUAAACUUUGGGCACGACAAGUCAUGAAGUCGGCACGUUGGGGAGACACCGUGUCACAAUGACAAGGUUUCUAGUUCGUGCUUUGUUCAGAUUGCCCAGAAGCUGAUGAUCACAGAGAAGAGGUCAUAUUUGUCAUGAGAAAGCUUUCCUGCACCAGGAUUCAGUAAAGGCGUUUACCAGCAGGGCCCAUGGUGCCUCCAGAGGCAGGAUGGUGCUCAAAACCCAUCACUGAGGCCAGGAAGUGAGGACAAAAGUUGAGGGCUGCCCAUAGGAAAGAGAAAAAAUGCUCCCUUUGGGUUUCCAAGUAGUUACUGCUUAUUGUUGCAUCAGUCUUGCUCCUGACCACGAUGUGUUCCUUGUUCAUUCUCCUUGGUAUCCCACUGAUUGUGCAUCUAUGAAAAAGAAGACAGGAUCGGGGGUGGUGCAAAGAACAACUGCAUCCUUCUAGAGCUGAUGCCCUGGUGAGCUCUGAAGCACACUUAGCAGAGCCUGAAAUCUACUCUCCCUGUGGGAUGGAGUCUCGUUCUGUCGCCCAGGCUGGAGUGCAGUGG